UACGUAGGGGGCAAGCGUUGUCCGGAAUCAUUGGGCGUAAAGCGCGUGUAGGCGGCUCGGUAAGUCUGCUCUGAAAGCCCGGGGCUCAACCCUGGGAGGCGGGUGGAUACUGCUGAGCUCGAGUCCGGAAGAGGCGAGUGGAAUCCCUGGUGUAGCGGUGAAAUGCGCAGAUAUCAGGAGGAACACCAAUGGCGAAGGCAGCUCGCUGGGACGGUACUGACGCUGAGACGCGAAAGCGUGGGGAGCAAACAGG
RNAcentral lists this ribosomal RNA (253 nucleotides) under uncultured bacterium. Its description in RNAcentral is "partial 16S ribosomal RNA". It matches the Rfam family "Bacterial small subunit ribosomal RNA", at positions 524 to 776 of the family's 1533-position model. The record is from RNAcentral.